AUGGGGCCAGGGGCCCUCUCCCAGGCUGUGCUGACGCAGCCGCCCUCCCUCUCUGCCUCUCCUGGACCAUCAGCCAGGCUUCCCUGCACCCUGAGCAGUGGCUCCAGUGUUGGCAGCUACCACAUAUCCUGGUACCAGCACAAGCCAGGGAGCCCUCCCCGGUACCUGCUGAGGUUCUACUCAGGCUCCAGUAAGGACCAGGACUCCGGGGUCCCCAGCUGCGUCUCUGUGGCCAAAGAUGCCUCGGCCUAUGCAGGGCUUCUGCUCAUCUCUGAGCUGAAGCCCGAGGAUGAGGCUCUCCUGUCUCAACUGGCAAAGCAGUGCUCUUCACAGUGA
Non-coding RNA from Phacochoerus africanus (Common warthog), 336 nucleotides. The record is from the annotation of a RefSeq genome assembly. NCBI's taxonomy places the organism in Eukaryota, Metazoa, Chordata, Mammalia, Artiodactyla, Suidae.